Molecule: long non-coding RNA, 157 nt
Organism: Mytilus californianus (California mussel)
Lineage: Eukaryota; Metazoa; Mollusca; Bivalvia; Mytilida; Mytilidae
Exons: 2
Source: RefSeq, a predicted model, not a curated record
UCAGAGUUUAUAGAAGUAUUAUGUAUUCCUAUUGAUGAACUUCUUAACAAAUUAAAUGACUAUACUGUACAAGGAGUUGUAGUGAAUACGAUGGUCUAUUCAUAUGCAAUUGCUAUGGAACAGUCAAAGAAAUCAAAAAAUAAAUCUUUAUAAUAUA